This 909-nucleotide ribosomal RNA is filed under the name uncultured bacterium. RNAcentral's name for it is "bacterial SSU rRNA". It matches the Rfam family "Bacterial small subunit ribosomal RNA", at positions 565 to 1485 of the family's 1533-position model. The record is from RNAcentral.
GAGUUCGUAGGUGGUUGAAAAAGUUGGUGGUGAAAUCCCAGAGCUUAACUCUGGAACUGCCAUCAAAACUUUUCAGCUAGAGUAUGAUAGAGGAAAGCAGAAUUUCUAGUGUAGAGGUGAAAUUCGUAGAUAUUAGAAAGAAUACCAAUUGCGAAGGCAGCUUUCUGGAUCAUUACUGACACUGAGGAACGAAAGCAUGGGUAGCGAAGAGGAUUAGAUACCCUCGUAGUCCAUGCCGUAAACGAUGUGUGUUAGACGUUGGAAAUUUAUUUUCAGUGUCGCAGCGAAAGCGAUAAACACACCGCCUGGGGAGUACGACCGCAAGGUUAAAACUCAAAUGAAUUGACGGGGACCCGCACAAGUAGUGGAGCAUGUGGUUUAAUUCGAAGAUACGCGCAGAACCUUACCAACACUUGACAUGUUCGUCGCGACUCUAAGAGAUUAGAGUUUUCGGUUCGGCCGGACGAAACACAGGUGCUGCAUGGCUGUCGUCAGCUCGUGUCGUGAGAUGUUGGGUUAAGUCCCGCAACGAGCGCAACCCUCACUUUUAGUUGCCAUCAUUUAGUUGGGCACUCUGAAAGAACUGCCAGUGAUAAGCUGGAGGAAGGUGGGGAUGACGUCAAGUCCUCAUGGCCCUUACGUGUUGGGCUACACACGUGCUACAAUGGCAUCUACAACAGGAAGCAAAACGGCAACGUUAAGCAAAUCCCGAAAAGAUGCCUCAGUUCGGAUUGCACUCUGCAACUCGAGUGCAUGAAGCUGGAAUUACUAGUAAUCGUGGAUCAGCGUGCCACGGUGAAUGCGUUCCCGGGUCUUGUACACACCGCCCGUCACACCAUGGGAGUUGGUUCUACCUUAAGGCAAGGUUUUAAACCCUUGACCACGGUAUAGUCAGCGACUGGGGUGAAG